AGUGUAGGCGGCUACUUAAGUCGGAUGUGAAAGCCCCGGGCUCAACCUGGGAAUUGCAUUCGAUACUGGGUAGCUAGAAUUUAGUAGAGGUAAGUGGAAUUCCGGGUGUAGCGGUGAAAUGCGUAGAUAUCCGGAGGAACAUCAGUGGCGAAGGCGGCUUACUGGACUAAAAUUGACGCUGAGGCUCGAAAGCGUGGGGAGCAAACAGGAUUAGAUACCCUGGUAGUCC
This 229-nucleotide ribosomal RNA is filed under the name uncultured bacterium. RNAcentral describes it as "partial 16S ribosomal RNA". It matches the Rfam family "Bacterial small subunit ribosomal RNA", at positions 568 to 796 of the family's 1533-position model. The record is from RNAcentral.